GCUGGGCGUGGUGGUGCACGCCUGUAAUCCCAGUGGCUUGGGAGGCUGAGGCAGGAGGAUUGCAAGUUCAAAGCCAGACUCAGCAACUCAGGGAGAUCCUCCGCAACUUAGCAAGACCGUGCCUCAA
Molecule: small RNA, 127 nt
Filed under: Marmota monax (woodchuck)
Lineage: Eukaryota; Metazoa; Chordata; Mammalia; Rodentia; Sciuridae
Source: RNAcentral